This 240-nucleotide ribosomal RNA is filed under the name uncultured bacterium. RNAcentral's name for it is "partial 16S ribosomal RNA". It matches the Rfam family "Bacterial small subunit ribosomal RNA", at positions 92 to 334 of the family's 1533-position model. The record is from RNAcentral.
CGACCGGCGCACGGUGAGUAACGCGUAUCCAACCUGCCCACCACUUGGGAUAACCUUGCGAAAGUAAGACUAAUACCCAAUGAUAUCUCUAGAAGACAUCUGAAAGAGAUUAAAGAUUUAUCGGUGAUGGAUGGGGAUGCGUCUGAUUAGCUUGUUGGCGGGGUAACGGCCCACCAGGGCAACGAUCAGUAGGGGUUCUGAGAGGAAGGUCCCCCACAUUGGAACUGAGACACGGUCCAA